UGGGGAAUAUUGCACAAUGGGCGAAAGCCUGAUGCAGCAACGCCGCGUGAGUGAUGAAGGCCUUCGGGUUGUAAAGCUCUGUCUUUUGGGACGAUAAUGACGGUACCAAAGGAGGAAGCCACGGCUAACUACGUGCCAGCAGCCGCGGUAAUACGUAGGUGGCAAGCGUUGCCCGGAUUUACUGGGCGUAAAGGAUGCGUAGGCGGAUUUUUAAGUGAGAUGUGAAAACCCUAAGCUUAACUUGGGGACUGCAUUUCAUACUGGAAAUCUAGAGUGCGGGAGAGGAGAAUGGAAUUCCUAGUGUAGCGGUGAAAUGCGUAGAGAUUAGGAAGAACACCAGUGGCGAAGGCGAUUCUCUGGACCGUAACUGACGCUGAGGCAUGAAAGCGUGGGUAGCAAACAGGAUUAGAUACCCUGGUAGUCCACGCCGUAAACGAUGAGUACUAGGUGUAGGAGGUAUCGACCCCUUCUGUGCCGCAGUUAACACAAUAAGUACUCCGCCUGGGAAGUACGAUCGCAAGAUUAAAACUCAAAUGAAUUGACGGGGUCAUAGU
This 554-nucleotide ribosomal RNA is filed under the name uncultured bacterium. RNAcentral describes it as "partial 16S ribosomal RNA". It matches the Rfam family "Bacterial small subunit ribosomal RNA", at positions 355 to 925 of the family's 1533-position model. The record is from RNAcentral.